UUUUCUGGUUGAUCCUGCCAGAGGUCACUGCUAUCGGGGUUCGAUUAAGCCAUGCGAGUCGAGAGGGUUCGGCCCUCGGCGUACUGCUCAGUAACACGUGGAUAACCUGCCCUAGGGAAGGGGAUAACCCCGGGAAACUGGGGAUAAUACCCUAUAGGUUACAGAUGCUGGAAUGCUCUGUAACCCAAAGUUCCGGCGCCCUAGGAUGGAUCUGCGGCCGAUUAGGUUGUUGUUGGGGUAAUGGCCCAACAAGCCAGUAAUCGGUACGGGUUGUGGGAGCAAGAGCCCGGAGUUGGAUUCUGAGACACGAAUCCAGGCCCUACGGGGCGCAGCAGGCGCGAAAACUUUACAAUGCGGGCAACCGUGAUAAGGGAACCUCGAGUGCCUGUAAAUGCAGGCUGUUUAGGUGUUUAAAACGCACCUGGAGAAAGGGCCGGGCAAGACCGGUGCCAGCCGCCGCGGUAAUACCGGCGGCUCGAGUGGUGGCCACUUUUAUUGGGCUUAAAGCGUUCGUAGCUGGGUUGUUAAGUCUCUUGGGAAAUCUGGCGGCUUAACCGUCAGGCGUCUAAGGGAUACUGGCAAUCUUGGAACCGGGAGAGGUGAGGGGUACUUCGGGGGUAGGAGUGAAAUCCUGUAAUCCUCGAGGGACCACCUGUGGCGAAGGCGCCUCACCAGAACGGCUUCGACAGUGAGGGACGAAAGCUGGGGGAGCAAACCGGAUUAGAUACCCGGGUAGUCCCAGCCGUAAACUAUGCGCGUUAGGUGUAUCGGUGACCACGAGUUACCGAGGUGCCGAAGGGAAACCGUGAAACGUGCCGCCUGGGAAGUACGGUCGCAAGGCUGAAACUUAAAGGAAUUGGCGGGA
RNAcentral lists this ribosomal RNA (865 nucleotides) under uncultured archaeon. RNAcentral describes it as "bacterial SSU rRNA". It matches the Rfam family "Archaeal small subunit ribosomal RNA", at positions 1 to 873 of the family's 1478-position model. The record is from RNAcentral.